UAACAGAAAGCAGCUUGCUGCUUUGCUGACGAGUGGCGGACGGGUGAGUAAUGUCUGGGAAACUGCCUGAUGGAGGGGGAUAACUACUGGAAACGGUAGCUAAUACCGCAUAACGUCGCAAGACCAAAGAGGGGGACCUUANGGCCUCUUGCCAUCGGAUGUGCCCAGAUGGGAUUAGCUAGUAGGUGGGGUAACGGCUCACCUAGGCGACGAUCCCUAGCUGGUCUGAGAGGAUGACCAGCCACACUGGAACUGAGACACGGUCCAGACUCCUACGGGAGGCAGCAGUGGGGAAUAUUGCACAAUGGGCGCAAGCCUGAUGCAGCCAUGCCGCGUGUAUGAAGAAGGCCUUCGGGUUGUAAAGUACUUUCAGCGGGGAGGAAGGGAGUAAAGUUAAUACCUUUGCUCAUUGACGUUACCCGCAGAAGAAGCACCGGCUAACUCCGUGCCAGCAGCCGCGGUAAUACGGAGGGUGCAAGCGUUAAUCGGAAUUACUGGGCGUAAAGCGCACGCAGGCGGUUUGUUAAGUCAGAUGUGAAAUCCCCGGGCUCAACCUGGGAACUGCAUCUGAUACUGGCAGGCUUGAGUCUCGUAGAGGGGGGUAGAAUUCCAGGUGUAGCGGUGAAAUGCGUAGAGAUCUGGAGGAAUACCGGUGGCGAAGGCG
This 664-nucleotide ribosomal RNA is filed under the name uncultured Escherichia sp. Its description in RNAcentral is "bacterial SSU rRNA". It matches the Rfam family "Bacterial small subunit ribosomal RNA", at positions 64 to 723 of the family's 1533-position model. The record is from RNAcentral. Lineage: Bacteria; Pseudomonadati; Pseudomonadota; Gammaproteobacteria; Enterobacterales; Enterobacteriaceae.